This 253-nucleotide ribosomal RNA is filed under the name uncultured bacterium. RNAcentral describes it as "partial 16S ribosomal RNA". It matches the Rfam family "Bacterial small subunit ribosomal RNA", at positions 524 to 776 of the family's 1533-position model. The record is from RNAcentral.
UACGUAGGUGGCAAGCGUUGUCCGGAUUUACUGGGCGUAAAGGGCUCGUAGGCGGCCAACUAAGUCAGACGUGAAAUCCCUCGGCUUAACCGGGGAACUGCGUCUGAUACUGGAUGGCUUGAGUGUGGGAGAGGGAUGCGGAAUUCCAGGUGUAGCGGUGAAAUGCGUAGAUAUCUGGAGGAACACCGGUGGCGAAGGCGGCAUCCUGGACCACGACUGACGCUGAGGAGCGAAAGCCAGGGGAGCAAACGGG